Molecule: long non-coding RNA, 366 nt
Filed under: Gossypium raimondii (Peruvian cotton)
Lineage: Eukaryota; Viridiplantae; Streptophyta; Magnoliopsida; Malvales; Malvaceae
Description: long non-coding RNA (GRAI_LNC006909)
Source: RNAcentral
UUUGACCGAUCCUUCCACACCACCAACCGAACCAACUCCGGUACAUCGGCAUCCCAACUCCCACAACCGCCUCUUCUUCGACCUUCCAUCGCCAGAAGGUGGGCUGCCUCAUUAACCGCACGAUGCACAAAAGAGUAUGUAAUCUCUGUAAAAAAACUGUUCAUUUGUUUGAUAUGGCAUAUAAUCGGUCUAAUAAUCGAUUUAUCCGCUUCAUUUCUCCUGACGGUUUUGAUGACAGUUAGGGAAUCACCUUCCACAACCAGUCGCUGAAAACGCAUGUUUCUCGAAAAUAUUAAAGCACGUUCACAAGCCCGUGCCUCCGCCACAAAAGGGUCUGAAAUGUUUUCAAACAGAUAAGUCUCUGCC